RNAcentral lists this transfer RNA (72 nucleotides) under Treponema sp. RNAcentral's name for it is "tRNA-His". It matches the Rfam family "tRNA". Rfam says of the family: Transfer RNA (tRNA) molecules are approximately 80 nucleotides in length. Their secondary structure includes four short double-helical elements and three loops (D, anti-codon, and T loops). RNAcentral also lists the same sequence under 1 other name. Lineage: Bacteria; Pseudomonadati; Spirochaetota; Spirochaetia; Treponematales; Treponemataceae. The record is from RNAcentral.
GUGUCUGUAGCUCAGCGGUAGAGUUCCAGAUUGUGGAUCUGGCUGUCGUGGGUUCGAGACCCACCAGACACC